CUAGCCGUAAACGAUGGAUACUAGGCGUUGAGAGUAUCGACCCCCUCAGUGUCGUAGCUAACGCGUUAAGUAUCCCGCCUGGGGAGUACGCGCGCAAGCGUGAAACUCAAAGGAAUUGACGGGGGCCCGCACAAGCGGUGGAGUAUGUGGUUUAAUUCGAUGCAACGCGAAGAACCUUACCAGGGCUUGACAUGUCCGGAACCCUGCCCAAAGGCGGGGGUGCCUACGGGAACCGGAACACAGGUGGUGC
RNAcentral lists this ribosomal RNA (250 nucleotides) under uncultured Chroococcidiopsis sp. RNAcentral describes it as "partial 16S ribosomal RNA". It matches the Rfam family "Bacterial small subunit ribosomal RNA", at positions 796 to 1044 of the family's 1533-position model. The record is from RNAcentral. Lineage: Bacteria; Bacillati; Cyanobacteriota; Cyanophyceae; Chroococcidiopsidales; Chroococcidiopsidaceae.